UGAAUACGAGAUGCUACGGCGUCGAAGCAGUCUAUGUCAUACUUCCAAGAAAAGCUUGCACUGUCAUAAACAAAUAAUGCCUGUACCAUAACCGACACAGGUGGGUAGGUAGAGUAUACUAAGGGGCGCGAGAUAACUCUCUCUAAGGAACUCGGCAAAAUGACUCCGUAACUUCGGGAGAAGGAGUGCCUUAUUUAUAAGGUUGCAAUAACAAGAUCCAAGCAACUGUUUACCAAAAACACAGGUCUCCGCUAAGUCGUAAGACGAUGUAUGGGGGCUGACGCCUGCCCAGUGCCAGAAGGUUAAAGAAGUUGGUUAGCAUUUGCGAAGCUGAUAACUGAAGCCCUGGUGAACGGCGGCCGUAACCAUAACGGUCCUAAGGUAGCGAAAUUCCUUGUCGGGUAAGUUCCGACCCGCAAAAGGCGUAAUGAUUUGGAUACUGUCUCGGAGAGGGGCUCGGUGAAAUAGACUUGUCUGUGAAGAUGCGGACUACCUGCACCUGGACAGAAAGACCCUAUGAAGCUUUACUGUAACUUGAAAUUGAAAUUGGACUUUAUUUGCGCAGCAUAGGUGGGAGGCGUCGAUAGUAAUCUUCGGGAUUAUUGGAGCCAUCAGUGAGAUACCACUCUUGUAAUGUUAGAUUUCUAACUUUGUAUCAUUAUCUGGUCAAAGAACAGUUUCAGGCGGGCAGUUUGACUGGGGCGGUCGCCCCCCAAACGGUAACGGAGGCGCACAAAGGUUUCCUCUGAACGGGUAGAAAUCGUAUCUAGAGUGUAAAGGCAUAAGGAAGCUUGACUGUGAGACCUACAAGUCGAGCAGGGACGAAAGUCGGUCUUAGUGAUCUGACGGUGCUGAGUGGAAAGGCCGUCACUCAACGGAUAAAAGUUACUCUAGGAUAACAGGCUGAUCUCCCCCAAGAGUUCACAUCGACGGGGAGGUUUGGCACCUCGAUGUCGGCUCAUCGCAUCCUGGGGCGGUAGUACGUCCCAAGGGUUGGGCUGUUCGCCCAUGAAAGCGGUACGCGAGCUGGGUUCAGAACGUCGUGAGACAGUUCGGUCCAUAUCCGGUGUAGGCGUUAGAAUAUUGAGAGGAGCCUUCUCUAGUACGAGAGGACCGAGAAGGACAUACCUCUGGUGUACCAGUUAUCGUGCCAACGGUAAACGCUGGGUAGCUAUGUAUGGAGUGGAUAACCGCUGAAAGCAUCUAAGUGGGAAGCCCACCUUAAGAUAAGUAUUCUCA
This 1239-nucleotide ribosomal RNA is filed under the name metagenome. Its description in RNAcentral is "bacterial LSU rRNA". It matches the Rfam family "Bacterial large subunit ribosomal RNA", at positions 1564 to 2816 of the family's 2925-position model. The record is from RNAcentral.